GUAGGGGGGCGAGCGUUGUCCGGAUUUAUUGGGGCGUAAAGAGCUCGUAGGCGGCUCAGCAAGUCGGCCGUGAAAGCCUGAGGGCUCAACCUCAGGACGCCGGUCGAAACUGCUGUGGCUAGGGUCCCGGUAGAGGAGAGUGGAAUUCCCGGUGUAGCGGUGAAAUGCGCAGAUAUCGGGAGGAACACCAGUAGCGAAGGCGGCUCUCUGGGCCGGCACCGACGCUGAGGAGCGAAAGCUAGGGGAGCAAACAGGAUUAGAUACCCUGGUAGUCCUAGCCGUAAACGUUGGGUACUAGGUGUGGCGGAUUCAUUGACAUCUGCCGUGCCGAAGCUAACGCAUUAAGUACCCCGCCUGGGGAGUACGGUCGCAAGGCUA
This 378-nucleotide ribosomal RNA is filed under the name uncultured organism. RNAcentral's name for it is "partial 16S ribosomal RNA". It matches the Rfam family "Bacterial small subunit ribosomal RNA", at positions 526 to 896 of the family's 1533-position model. The record is from RNAcentral.